UCUCCAGCUGUUUUUGGACUACAGUUCCCAUCAUCCCUGGUCUUGCUAGCUAGGGAUGAUGGGAGUUGUAGUCCAAAAAUAGCUGGAGA
Molecule: non-coding RNA, 89 nt
Organism: Podarcis lilfordi (Lilford's wall lizard)
Lineage: Eukaryota; Metazoa; Chordata; Lepidosauria; Squamata; Lacertidae
Source: the annotation of a GenBank genome assembly